CCUACGGGUUGCACCAGUGGGGAAUAUUACACAAUGGGCGCAAGCCUGAUGCAGCCAUGCCGCGUGUAUGAAGAAGGCCUUCGGGUUGUGAAGUACUUUCAGCGGGGAGGAAGGUGUUGUGGUUAAUAACCACAACAAUUGACGUUACCCGCAGAAGAAGCACCGGCUAACUCCGUGCCAGCAGCCGCGGUAAUACGGAGGGUGCAAGCGUUAAUCGGAAUUACUGGGCGUAAAGCGCACGCAGGCGGUCUGUCAAGUCGGAUGUGAAAUCCCCGGGCUCAACCUGGGAACUGCAUUCGAAACUGGCAGGCUAGAGUCUUGUAGAGGGGGGUAGAAUUCCAGGUGUAGCGGUGAAAUGCGCAGAGAUAUGGAGGAACACCAGUGGCGAAGGCGACUUUCUGGUCUGUAACUGACGCUGAGGCGCGAAAGCGUGGGGAGCAAACAGGAUUAGAUACCCCAGUAGUC
Molecule: ribosomal RNA, 465 nt
Filed under: uncultured bacterium
Lineage: Bacteria
Description: bacterial SSU rRNA
Rfam family: Bacterial small subunit ribosomal RNA
Source: RNAcentral